AGUGUUUGUUUGUUAUCGAUUUACUAUCUAUAGUAUCGGAGUUACAGUACUAUAGUCUCAUUUCGAUCUUAGGAUUUUCAAAUCAACGAUACAUAUCGUUAAAUAUGAUCUAGAAUGUAUGAAUUUCUUAGAAAUAAAAUUUUAUUUUAUUUUUCCGACAUUGUUUACUUAGUAAUAAAAUUAUGUCAAAAUGAAAGUUGAAAUUGAACAAUUUUUAAAGUUUGAGGAUAGAACUUUUAAAUUCAGGAUCAAGGAUGUUGAUCUUCAUCUAGAUAUUUUAAAGUAUUUUUUAUCAAAAUUUGAAUAAAUUUAAAUUCUUCUACACCGUUAAACUACAAAUUUGCCAUACUAGCCAUUGAAAAUUGAUAAUUUUGAAAUAAUUUGAUCAUAAAGUAAACUAUGUCAAAAAAAAACUAAAAAUUUUAUUCCUAAAAUCUUCAAAUACUUUAGAUUAGUUUUAAUAGUAUGAAUCGUUAAUUUGAACAUUCUAAGUUUGAAAACGAGACUAUAGUACCAGAGUUCCGGUACUAUAAAUAGUAUAGGAACCUAGCUCUCUCUCUCUCUCUCUCUCUCUCUCUCUCUCUCUAUAUAUAUAUAUAUAGUCCGUCUAUGGUGUUUUCGGAAGUAUAAAAAGUUGGUACUUCGAGCUUUUUAGCCCUUGGAUCAAUUGCUUUGACUAUUUUUAAUUAUUGGAUUAAUAUUAUUCUCCCGGAGGAAUCAUUAAACCUUAGGGAGACUACUCAACACUAGAGGUGACUGCUAUCAUCUCAACCAUACAAUUCUUGAUCUAAGAGCCAAAAAAUCAAAAACACUUACUCCUUUAUACUUUCAAAAGUACAGUAACUCUACACUAUAUAUAUAUACACCACAACAGCAAGCAAAAAUGUUGAAGUAAUUAAGAUUCUGAACCUUGAAAGUGGAAGCUUCAAA
This 930-nucleotide long non-coding RNA is filed under the name Ananas comosus (pineapple). RNAcentral's name for it is "long non-coding RNA (ACOM_LNC019059)". Lineage: Eukaryota; Viridiplantae; Streptophyta; Magnoliopsida; Poales; Bromeliaceae. The record is from RNAcentral.